GACGUAGGGGGCAAGCGUUGUCCGGAUUUAUUGGGCGUAAAGAGCUCGUAGGCGGCUCAGAAAGUCGGGUGUGAAACCUCCAGGCUCAACCUGGAGACGCCACCUGAUACUGCUGUGGCUAGAGUCCGGUAGGGGAGCACGGAAUUCCCGGUGUAGCGGUGAAAUGCUUAGAUAUCGGGAGGAACACCAGUGGCGAAGGCGGUGCUCUGGGCCGGAACUGACGCUGAGGUGCGAAAGCGUGGGGAGCAAACAGG
Molecule: ribosomal RNA, 254 nt
Filed under: uncultured bacterium
Lineage: Bacteria
Description: partial 16S ribosomal RNA
Rfam family: Bacterial small subunit ribosomal RNA
Source: RNAcentral